RNAcentral lists this unclassified non-coding RNA (430 nucleotides) under soil metagenome. Its description in RNAcentral is "partial contains 5.8S ribosomal RNA, internal transcribed spacer 2, and large subunit ribosomal RNA". The stretch from base 1 to 120 matches the Rfam family "5.8S ribosomal RNA", at positions 35 to 154 of the family's 154-position model. The record is from RNAcentral.
GAUGAAGAACGUAGCGAAAUGCGAUACGUAAUGUGAAUUGCAGAAUUCAGUGAAUCAUCGAAUCUUUGAACGCAUAUUGCGCUCUCUGGUAUUCCGGAGAGCAUGCUUGUUUGAGUAUCAGUAAACACCUCAACUCCCUUUUCUUUAUUGAAAUUGGAGCUGGACUUGAGUGAUCCCAACGCUUUCUUCCAAGAAAGUGGCGGGUUGCUUGAAAUGCAGGUGCAGCUGAACUUUUCUCUGAGCUAUAAGCAUAUCUAUUUAGUCUGCCUAAAAAACAGAUUAUUACCUUUGCUGCAGCUAACAUAAAGGAGACUAGUUCUUGUGCUGACUGAUGCAGGAUUCACAGAGACAGCUUCGGCUGACUUUGUAAACUCGAUCUCAAAUCAAGUAAGACUACCCGCUGAACUUAAGCAUAUCAAUAAGCGGAGGA